GUCGCUGGCAGGUUGUCAAGACUGAAGAUGAUGAGGGUUUUGGCCUCGCCUAUGUGGUCUGCUGAUGUCACCAUGAAGUUCAAAGGCAGAAGGCACCAUCAUCUCUUAAGAAGCAUCAGAGAAGGAUCCCUUCCUCAGCCUCACUGAGUUUUGAAGGACUCUGUUUUUGCCUCUAUUCCACAGCAUCAGCUAUUUUUCCCAGCCGCAAUCCACUUGAAUUAAAACCACAAAUGUCUCUCUCCUUGCUUGGGUGCACCUGCUCGCAUCCAGCAAUCUGAAUUCUGUUGUGUGACUGAAAACACAGAGCCUGCACCGUGCUUCCUUGGAGCGUACCUCCUGUAAGAGAAGGGCGAAAACGACAGCUUAGAUCCUCUUCCACAGUUACAGCAGAAUAAGAAAGAUAUAACGAAGGCUUCUGCAAGGGCAAGAGGAGGGAGAAGAAAUGAAUCUUUUCAUCAAGAAACUUUGCAGAAAUGAAACGCUGGACCUGGGUCCCUGCUUGUUAAAAUAUGUGGAGUCCCACAAAAACGGUAGAUGAUGAAGAGCCAAGAAGAUUUCCCAAGGAUACUGGAUGCUGUUAUCACC
Chroicocephalus ridibundus (black-headed gull) is the source of this 585-nucleotide long non-coding RNA. RefSeq lists it as uncharacterized. The transcript is spliced from 3 exons. Lineage: Eukaryota; Metazoa; Chordata; Aves; Charadriiformes; Laridae. The record is from RefSeq and is a predicted model, not a curated record.